GACCUUGUACUAUCAGUAUUCCCCCCUCUUUGCGUGCUGGGAUGUGGAUUUUUGGUGAUGUCCCAGGAUGCGAGAUCCUCUCUCACCAGUAUUCCCCCCCUCUCUACGCCUGCGAGGUUGUAUCUAUGCUUCCACGGAGGUUGUCACGCGCUUUUGCCAACUAUUGUCCGGUUUGUCCUAGCCGAAGCAUACUCCUUGCGCACCUGUCUGGCCUGAUUUUCCCACGGAACCCUGCUUGCCCACCUUGACGCCUUGCCUGAGCUAUCUUUGAGCACUGUUUGGGUUCUCUUCCCUGUGGCGGGUUUUGAGAGUACCUGACCCCCUCCUUUUGCUCGCC
This 337-nucleotide long non-coding RNA is filed under the name Zostera marina. RNAcentral's name for it is "long non-coding RNA (ZMAR_LNC000034)". The record is from RNAcentral. Lineage: Eukaryota; Viridiplantae; Streptophyta; Magnoliopsida; Alismatales; Zosteraceae.